AACGAACGCUGGCGGCAUGCCUAACACAUGCAAGUCGAACGAGACCUUCGGGUCUAGUGGCGCACGGGUGCGUAACGCGUGGGAAUCUGCCCCUCGGUUCGGAAUAACACAGAGAAAUUUGUGCUAAUACCGGAUAAUGACGAAAGUCCAAAGAUUUAUCGCCGAGGGAUGAGCCCGCGUAAGAUUAGCUAGUUGGUGGGGUAAUGGCCUACCAAGGCGACGAUCUUUAGCUGGUCUGAGAGGAUGAUCAGCCACACUGGGACUGAGACACGGCCCAGACUCCUACGGGAGGCAGCAGUGGGGAAUAUUGGACAAUGGGCGAAAGCCUGAUCCAGCAAUGCCGCGUGAGUGAUGAAGGCCUUAGGGUUGUAAAGCUCUUUUACCAGGGAUGAUAAUGACAGUACCUGGAGAAUAAGCUCCGGCUAACUCCGUGCCAGCAGCCGCGGUAAGUCUCGCGUGA
RNAcentral lists this ribosomal RNA (460 nucleotides) under uncultured bacterium. Its description in RNAcentral is "bacterial SSU rRNA". It matches the Rfam family "Bacterial small subunit ribosomal RNA", at positions 29 to 533 of the family's 1533-position model. The record is from RNAcentral.